AUAUUGUGACAUUUGAUAGAAAUGUCACAUAGUUAAGAAUAAAAUGACAUUUAAUUAGUGAUAUGUAAUUAUGUACAGCAAAUGUCAAAAAAAAUACUAGUUUCAAAAAAGUAAGAGAAUUUUUUUUCCCAAAUCUACCUCUCAAAUCUCUAAAAAAACCCUAACAAUUGAAGUUCAUUUUUCCCCUUUCCAGUUUCUCUAUCCCGUCCGAAUCCUUACACCCCAACCAUGAAUCUCAAAAUCCUUCAGGAAUAGCAGUAUGAAAUGUAUUCUCUUCUUGCUCAAUUCACUAUUUCCUUCUCUUUGUCUACUGCGCAUUGGAAUAACUCUAGGUUAGCAUUUUUCUUUAUUUCUUGAUUGGAUUCGAAUUCUUCCUUAUUUCUUGUGAGUGUUUUGAUUUCUCAGAGGAAUUCAAUCAUAUUUAUUGCAUUUGCCUGUGUUCAAUGUAUUUACAGCAGAGGAAUUGGGAGUUUAGGGUUUUGAAGUUUAAUCUAUGUUCUGAUUUUAUUUUGUGGUUGUGAUCGUGUGGUGAUUUGGAGAUAUGUUUGUUUGAAUGGAAGUUGUGUGGGGUAUUAUUACACAAUAUGCUAAUGGUGAUAUUACAUUCACAGAUUUAUGCCCCACGGCUGUUUGACAAAAUGCCUGAUAGAGCAUCUUAAACACUAUGAUCUUCCCUAUUGUUUAUUUAUUUCAAAAUAUGAACUAAAUUUAUGAGUUUUCCUCAAUUCUUAAUUGAUUCAAUGAUGUGCAAGUCAGCAACAAAGGAUUUUUCAAAUUCUCUAAGACUUCCUUUAAGUUAAAUUGUCAAGAUAUGAUGUUAAGAUUUUUUGCGUCCCUUAAAUGUCUUAUGCUUCUCUUUGGGUUCGCGUUGCACUACAAAGAGCUCAACUUAGAGAUGUGCUAGCUUUGGGGCUUAAUGUUACCAGGUAUUUAUUCUUGUACACUUAAUAAACUAGUUAGUUGCAUGAUCAUAUUAAGCAGUCAUCAGAUGUCAUGAAAAUAUUAUCUUGCACAGAAGGAGAAUGCUAGUAAGUAAACAUCACAUCCAUAUGUAUCAUUAGCUUUAUAUACUACGGGCUUGUUUAGUUAGUACAGUAUGGUAAUUAACUCUUGGCUUUCAAAGGAGAAAUGCUAUAAUGAUAAGUCUGCUAUAUCUACAUAUAGGGUGCUAUCUACUUUGCUAAUUAUUUUUGUCCCUACGGCAAUUAUGCAAUCGGUUUAAUAUCUUUAGAAUUUACUAGGUUGAAAUGUACCGAUGGCUAUGCUGGUUGAUUAGGUGAAGAAUAAGGUAGCACACAUAUACUGACCUUUGUGUGUAUGAUAUGGAGUUGCAGUGAGAAAGUCCAGAGUGUGGCAACUUAUGGUUGACUACAACCUUGUUGUUUCAAUUCAAUAAAGUGUCAAAUGGGGGGAAGUGCAAGGAAAUUGGAGCUGAAGGGAUGUAGCAGAAAAAGUGGAAGAAAGAGUUGAGGAAGUGAAACAAUCUGUUGCAGAAUUUGCUACAAUUUGCUUGUAUCCAGCCUAAUAGUUUCUUUCUACCAUUGUUUGAUUGUAAGGAUGUGCUGCUAUUCACAAAUACAUUCUUGUAAUUAGUUACGGAGAUUUUUUGUUAACUCAUUUUAUUACAGUUCAAAUUAUAUAUAUUUAUUGACAUUUAUAAGUA
Molecule: long non-coding RNA, 1663 nt
Organism: Nicotiana tabacum (common tobacco)
Lineage: Eukaryota; Viridiplantae; Streptophyta; Magnoliopsida; Solanales; Solanaceae
Source: RefSeq, a predicted model, not a curated record